UCGAACGAUGAACCCGCUUGCGGGGGAUUAGUGGCGAACGGGUGAGUAACACGUGAGUAACCUGCCCUUAACUCUGGGAUAAGCCUUGGAAACGGGGUCUAAUACUGGAUAUUGACUUUACCUCGCAUGGGGUUUUGUUGAAAGAUUUAUUGGUUUUGGAUGGACUCGCGGCCUAUCAGCUUGUUGGUGAGGUAAUGGCUCACCAAGGCGACGACGGGUAGCCGGCCUGAGAGGGUGACCGGCCACACUGGGACUGAGACACGGCCCAGACUCCUACGGGAGGCAGCAGUGGGGAAUAUUGCACAAUGGGCGAAAGCCUGAUGCAGCGACGCCGCGUGAGGGAUGACGGCCUUCGGGUUGUAAACCUCUUUCAGUAGGGAACAAGGCC
This 388-nucleotide ribosomal RNA is filed under the name Arthrobacter psychrolactophilus. Its description in RNAcentral is "bacterial SSU rRNA". It matches the Rfam family "Bacterial small subunit ribosomal RNA", at positions 62 to 453 of the family's 1533-position model. The record is from RNAcentral. Lineage: Bacteria; Bacillati; Actinomycetota; Actinomycetes; Micrococcales; Micrococcaceae.